AUAAAUACGCGGUGGGUCCAUGCAGGUUUUAGUGGCAUGCUUGGGCAACAAAUUUGAAGUCAGUUGUCCAAAUCUCGAUUUGCCGAUGGGAGUCGGAGGAAAAUGUGCAAGUGUUAAUGUGUGUGUACAUGUGCAAGGCAGCCGCCUUGUCAGCAAACAUGUCUCCAUGUCCCCUUCCGUCAAAACUCCAUGCUUGUUCACACCGUGACUCUGAAUACUCUCAUGGAAAAUAUUUGCAACGCAAAGUCAAAACCCGUAAUUCAUUAUUUGUAUACAUAUUCAGAUGUUUAUAUCCGUUACCCCUUUCAUCCUAAAUUAUAUAAUACUAUUUGGUUGGUGGCAGAGGCCUGGGACUCCGAGACGCCCAUUGAGCGGUGACGUUUCGUUUGUAGGAAGUUGAGAGUCUACUAUACUAUUUGGUUAGUGUUUCCUAGUACUCAGAUCGAAAAAAAAGUUCUCAAGCUCGUUCGCCCCCGACACUUCGGUUCAGCUCCAUACCUAAAUCGUUGACACGAUAAAAGCAGCUGGAUCGAGAGUGAGAAGGGCUUGGAGAAAAAGUUGAGCGACUUAAGUGUCGAUCAACUGUACACAUAUGAGACGAACAAGAAUAAUAAAGAGAACAGCGUCUUUGCCACUGAGCAUGUCGUGGAAAAGCUACUGGAAAAGCUCGCCCAUAAAUUGGAGCCUGCACGAAUAAGGCCCGCCUUUUAGUACUGGAAAAUUACUUGGUGAAACUGACAGAGAAGGAAGCUACCGAAGUGGAAAAAAAUGACCACCGUACUUUUUAAAGAGAUCGAGGCCAUACAAAUGGAGAAAUAUAGAGAGGAGAAUAAAUAUAAAUAUUAUGCAUUUU
Long non-coding RNA from Drosophila guanche, 853 nucleotides. RefSeq lists it as uncharacterized. The record is from RefSeq and is a predicted model, not a curated record. NCBI's taxonomy places the organism in Eukaryota, Metazoa, Arthropoda, Insecta, Diptera, Drosophilidae. The transcript has 3 exons.